Pelobates cultripes (western spadefoot toad) is the source of this 714-nucleotide non-coding RNA. The record is from the annotation of a GenBank genome assembly. Lineage: Eukaryota; Metazoa; Chordata; Amphibia; Anura; Pelobatidae.
CAUAAAUUCUUCCAAGUCAACCAAAAAUAAUAUACAGGGGAGCUCCUAGUCUAAAAAAGAGACUAGUAAAAAAUCAUAUUAAGAUUAACAAAACAGAUAAUUUUCUUCAACAAAAAGUUUUUUUUGGCUGUUGUACAAAAAGUAAAAAACGACAUAUAAAAACCUUUGAGGACCCACAUGGAAACAAAGAAUACAAAAUACAUGAAAUGAGCACUUGUUUUUCCAAGAAUGUGAUAUACCUUCUAACCUGUACAUGCCAUUUGUGCUAUGUGGGGAGAACUAAACUUCCCCUACACAUUCGAAUAAAUGAGCAUGUGCGCAAUAUUAAAAAGGGCUAUGAGAAACACAGCGUCUCAAGACAUUUUAAAUCUGUACAUAAUAGUGAUCCACAAUGUUUUUAAAUUUACUGUUAUACAGAAAAUUAAAACCAACUGGAGGGAAGAAGACAUGAGAGGAAUGUGUGAGAUGAAGUGGAUUUUUAAUCUAAACACACUAAGUCCCUCAGGUUUAAAUGAAGAUUUUGAGCUGUAUCACUUCUUAUAAAUUGGUCUAUAUUUUUACUCAUUAUAUUUACAUUGUUUACAUAUAUUGCAUUUUUUAAUAUACUAUAUUUGCUAUAUACAUAUUUUUAUCAUGUACUUUUUAAGAUAUUGUUUAGAUGAUAUAUAUUUUUAUAGAUAUCUUAUGGAUUAUGUAUUGGUUAUUUACAGAUAU